AACAUAAAAGUUUGGAUAAUUUGCAGCUUGACCAUGCAAGAGAAAAGAAAAACCCAUUUUCUGGAGAGAAAUUCAAGCCUGCUGCAGAAAUUGGCAUAAGUAACAAGAAGCCAAAUG
Molecule: long non-coding RNA, 117 nt
Organism: Sapajus apella (tufted capuchin)
Lineage: Eukaryota; Metazoa; Chordata; Mammalia; Primates; Cebidae
Exons: 3
Source: RefSeq, a predicted model, not a curated record